GUCUAUAUUGGGCCUUUGCAAAUUUAGUGUGACCUGAUCCACAUUUGUAGUUUCAGGAUGCGUGUCAUUUAUUAGCUUGGCAAUCAGGGCAGUAGAGCAUCUGACAAAAUAAUUGUUAAAGGCAUUUGCUACAUCUAAGGGAAGUUGCAGGGUUUACCCACUUUGACAGUGGAGGGUUGGGAGUGGAUUGGGGGAGUUUGUAGUUUAUUUAUGACUCUCCUAAAGUUUCUAGGGUUUGAUAGGUUAUUGUUCAGAUUUUCAUAGAAAUAUUGGGCCUUGGCUAAUUUUGUCUGUUUUGUGCAUAUAUUUCGCCAUUGUCUAUAUGCACAGUGAUCAUUCAUAGAGCCAGUACGCUUAAACUUUGACCACAAAGAAUCCCGAAACUGGUACAUUUGGAUGAGGUCAGCUGUGAUCCAGUUCAUAUGUGCUCCUUUUACCCUCACCUUCCGCAGCGGGGCAUGCAAAUUCCAAAUUUGUAGGAGUUCAGACUGAAAGAAUUCAACAGCACAGUCUAGAUCUGGGACAAUGUUUAAUCUGUGCCAUGGGAGGUUCUUG
This is a non-coding RNA of Pelobates cultripes (western spadefoot toad), 555 nucleotides long. Lineage: Eukaryota; Metazoa; Chordata; Amphibia; Anura; Pelobatidae. The record is from the annotation of a GenBank genome assembly.